GGUCGGUUAGCUCAGUCAAUUGAGCGUGAUGCUAGCAACGUUAAGGUUGUGGGUUCUAUUCCCGUUCGGUCCC
RNAcentral lists this transfer RNA (73 nucleotides) under Apaloderma vittatum (bar-tailed trogon). It matches the Rfam family "tRNA". From Rfam's summary of the family: Transfer RNA (tRNA) molecules are approximately 80 nucleotides in length. Their secondary structure includes four short double-helical elements and three loops (D, anti-codon, and T loops). Lineage: Eukaryota; Metazoa; Chordata; Aves; Trogoniformes; Trogonidae. The record is from Rfam by way of RNAcentral.